RNAcentral lists this ribosomal RNA (443 nucleotides) under uncultured bacterium. RNAcentral's name for it is "partial 16S ribosomal RNA". It matches the Rfam family "Bacterial small subunit ribosomal RNA", at positions 338 to 795 of the family's 1533-position model. The record is from RNAcentral.
CCUACGGGAGGCUGCAGUGGGGAAUAUUGGGCAAUGGAGGAAACUCUGACCCAGCAACGCCGCGUGAAUGAUGAAGGUCUUCGGAUUGUAAAGCUUUUUUCAUAGGGAAGUAGAAAGCGACGGUACCGUAGGAAUAAGUCUCGGCUAACUACGUGCCAGCAGCCGCUGCAAUACGGAGGAGGCAAGCGUUAUCCGGAAGGACUGGGCGUAAAGGGUGCGUAGGUGGUUUGAUAAGUUGGUAGCGUAACUCCGGGGGUCAACCUCGACACUACUGCCGAAACUGUCGGACUUGAGUGCAGGGGGGGCAACUGGAAUUCGUAGUGUAGCGGUGGAAUGCGUAGAUAUUAGGAAGAACACCAGUGGCGAAGGCGAGUUGCUGGACUAUAACUGACGCUGAGGCACGAAAGCGUGGGUAGCAAACAGGAUUAGAUACCCUGGUAGUC